Molecule: ribosomal RNA, 252 nt
Filed under: uncultured bacterium
Lineage: Bacteria
Description: partial 16S ribosomal RNA
Rfam family: Bacterial small subunit ribosomal RNA
Source: RNAcentral
CACGAAGGGGGCUAGCGUUGCUCGGAAUCACUGGGCGUAAAGCGCACGUAGGCGGCUUUCUAAGUCAGGGGUGAAAUCCUGGAGCUCAACUCCAGAACUGCCUUUGAUACUGGAGAGCUUGAGUCCGGGAGAGGUGAGUGGAACUCCGAGUGUAGAGGUGAAAUUCGUAGAUAUUGGGAAGAACACCGGUGGCGAAGGCGGCGACCUGGUCCUUGACUGACGCUGAGGCACGAAAGCGUGGGAGCAAACAGG